Molecule: ribosomal RNA, 450 nt
Filed under: uncultured Glomeromycotina
Lineage: Eukaryota; Fungi; Glomeromycota
Description: SSU rRNA
Rfam family: Eukaryotic small subunit ribosomal RNA
Source: RNAcentral
AGCAGCCGCGGUAAUUCCAGCUCCAAUAGCGUAUAUUAAAGUUGCUGCAGUUAAAAAGCUCGUAGUUGAAUUUCGGGACCAUCAUGUCGGUCGUGCCUCGGUACGUACUGGCAUUGUUGGUUUCUCCCUUCUGACGAACCAUGAUGUCAUUUAUUUGGUGUCAUGGGAAAUCAGGACUGUUACUUUGAAAAAAUUAGAGUGUUUAAAGCAGGCUCACGCUUGAAUACAUUAGCAUGGAAUAAUGAAAUAGGACGUUUGAUUCUAUUUUGUUGGUUUCUAGGAUCGACGUAAUGAUUAAUAGGGAUAGUUGGGGGCAUUAGUAUUCAAUUGUCAGAGGUGAAAUUCUUGGAUUUAUUGAAGACUAACUACUGCGAAAGCACUUGCCAAGGAUGUUUUCAUUAAUCAAGAACGAAAGUUAGGGGAUCGAAGACGAUCAGAUACCGUCGUAGU